Molecule: ribosomal RNA, 1449 nt
Filed under: Pachycephus cruentatus
Lineage: Eukaryota; Metazoa; Arthropoda; Insecta; Hymenoptera; Cephidae
Description: 16S ribosomal RNA
Source: RNAcentral
UUUGAAUUAGAUUAAAUUGAUUAAUUUUUUAUUUAGAAGAUUUUAGUUUAAUUAAAAUAAUAUACUUAUUUUUUAAGUUAAAGUAUUUAUUUAGAAUUAAUAAUUUUAUUUUAAAAUGUGAAUGAAAUUUGUGAAAUAAUUUAAAAUUUAUAAUUUAAAAAGUAAGAUUUAUUUUUUGUACCUUUUGUAUCAGGGGUUUUUAAUUAAAACUUAAAUAUUUAUGAUUCUCGAAUUAAUUAGAGUUAAUGUAAUUAUGUAAGUUAAUGUUAAAUUAUUAUUUAUAAUAGUGCAUUAGAGGAGAAAUUCUAGUCAAUAAUUAAGAUAUCUAGUUUUUUUAGAAAUAAAUUUAAUUUAUUUAUUGAAUUUGAAAAAUUGAUAGUUUUUUUCAAUUUAUUUUAUUUAAUAGAAAAAAUUUAAGGGAUUAGCUUUAAAUUUUAUUUUAAAAACUUUUUAUGGUUUAUUUGUUAAUUAUUUAUAAUAUAAAAAAUUAUAUUUAAUUAAUUAAUUUGAUUAUUAAAAAUUAUAGAUUUAAAAUUAGUUAUUAGUUUAAGUAUAUAAUAAUUUAUUGAAUUUUAUAAAAUUUAAUUUUAAUUUAGGUUUUAAUUAUUUAUAAAAAUAAUAAAUUAAAUUAAUUAAUUUAUUUAAUAAUGAAAAUAUUAUUAUAAUUUUAUGUUGUAUAUAAUUUAUUUUAUUAAGUAAAUUUAUAAUUAAUUUAUUUAAAGAAAUAUAAUUGUAAGGAACUAGACAAAUAAAGUAUUUACCUGUUUAUCAAAAACAUGUCUUUUUGAGUUUAAUUUAAAGUCUAAUCUGCCCAAUGAUUUAUUUAAAUGGCCGCGGUAUUUUGACCGUGCAAAGGUAGCAUAAUCAUUAGUUUUUUAAUUGAAAGCUUGUAUGAACGAUUGAAUAAGAUACUAGUUGUCUCACUUUUAUUUGAGUUAAAAUUUAAUUUUUAAGUUAAAAAGCUUAAUUAUAAUUAGAGGACGAGAAGACCCUAUAGAUUUUUAUGAGGUGAUAUUAUUAUUUAAUUAAAUUUUUUGUUAGAAUUAAUAUUGUUUCAUUUUGUUGGGGUGACAUAAAAAUUUAAUUAACUUUUUAUAAAAAAUACAUUAAUUUAUGAAUUUUUAUUGAUUUUAUUAAUAAUUUUGAUCCUAACUUUUAGAUUAUUAGAAUAAAAUACCUUAGGGAUAACAGCGUAAUUUAUUCGGAGAGAUCACAUUAAUGAAUGAGUUUGCGACCUCGAUGUUGAAUUAAGAAAAUAUUUAGGUGGAGAUACUUAAAUGUAUAGGUCUGUUCGACCUUUAAAUUCUUACAUGAUUUGAGUUCAGAUCGGCGUGAGCCAGAUCGGAUUCUAUCCUUAAUUAAUAUAUAAAUAUUUUUGUACGAAAGGACUUUAUAUUUUAAAUAGUUUAAAUUUAUAUUGAAUAAAAUUAAUAUUUUUGAAUAAUGAAA